GUACUGCAGGAAUAAGCAUCGGCUAACUCCGUGCCAGCAGCCGCGGUAAUACGGAGGAUGCAAGCGUUAUCCGGAUUCAUUGGGUUUAAAGGGUGCGCAGGCUGUAAAGCAAGUCAGUGGUGAAAGCCCUGGGCUUAACUCAGGGAUUGCCAUUGAAACUGUUUUACUAGAGUGUAGUAGAGGACGGCGGAAUGAGUUGUGUAGCGGUGAAAUGCAUAGAUAUAACUCAGAACACCUAUUGCGUAGGCAGCUGUCUAUACUACAACUGACGCUGAGGCACGAAAGCGUGGGGAGCGAACAGGAUUAGAUACCCUGGUAGUCCACGCUGUAAACGAUGAUCACUCGUUGUUGGCUACUUAGUAGUCAGUGACCAAGGGAAACCGAUAAGUGAUCCACCUGGGGAGUACGUCGGCAACGAUGAAACUCAAAGGAAUUGACGGGGGCCCGCACAAGCGGAGGAACAUGUGGUUUAAUUCGAUGAUACGCGAGGAACCUUACCUGGGCUUAAAUGCUGGCUGCAUUGGAGGGAAACCUUCAUUUCCUACGGGACCGCCAGCAAGGUGCUGCAUGGUUGUCGUCAGCUCGUGCCGUGAGGUGUCGGGUUAAGUCCCAUAACGAGCGCAACCCCUAUCGCUAGUUGCCAGCAUGUAAUGGUGGGGACUCUAGCGAGACUGCCGGUGUAAACCGGAGGAAGGUGGGGAUGACGUCAAAUCAGCACGGCCCUUACGUCCAGGGCUACACACGUGUUACAAUGGCCGGUACAAAGAGCAGCCACCUGGCGACAGGGCGCUAAUCUCUAAAACCGGUCUCAGUUCGGAUCGAAGUCUGCAAUUCGACUUCGUGAAGGUGGAUUCGCUAGUAAUCGCGCAUCAGCCAUGGCGCGGUGAAUAA
This 891-nucleotide ribosomal RNA is filed under the name uncultured Bacteroidota bacterium. RNAcentral's name for it is "bacterial SSU rRNA". It matches the Rfam family "Bacterial small subunit ribosomal RNA", at positions 475 to 1369 of the family's 1533-position model. Lineage: Bacteria; Pseudomonadati; Bacteroidota. The record is from RNAcentral.